UACGAAGGGGGCUAGCGUUGCUCGGAAUCACUGGGCGUAAAGGGUGCGUAGGCGGGAUCUUAAGUCAGAGGUGAAAGCCUGGAGCUCAACUCCAGAACUGCCUUUGAUACUGGGAUUCUUGAGUUCGGAAGAGGUGAGUGGAACUGCGAGUGUAGAGGUGAAAUUCGUAGAUAUUCGCAAGAACACCAGUGGCGAAGGCGGCUCACUGGCCCGGUACUGACGCUGAGGUGCGAAAGCGUGGGGAGCAAACAGG
Molecule: ribosomal RNA, 253 nt
Filed under: uncultured bacterium
Lineage: Bacteria
Description: partial 16S ribosomal RNA
Rfam family: Bacterial small subunit ribosomal RNA
Source: RNAcentral